Molecule: ribosomal RNA, 319 nt
Filed under: uncultured eukaryote
Lineage: Eukaryota
Description: partial 18S ribosomal RNA
Rfam family: Eukaryotic small subunit ribosomal RNA
Source: RNAcentral
CCCUUAGAUGGUCUGGGCGGCACGCGCGCUACAAUGAUGCAUUCAAAAAGUCUUCUGACCUUAGAAGGUUGGGUGUUCUCCAAAGUGCAUCGUGAUGGGAAUAGUUUAUUGCAAUUUUUAAUCUUGAACGAGGAAUUCCUAGUAAGUACAGGUCAUCAACUUGUGUUGAUUACGUCCCUGCCCUUUGUACACACCGCCCGUCGCUCCUACUGAUUGAGUGUCUCGGUGAAUUCUUUGAUCUUCUGUCGAUUCAGUUCACUGAUCCGACGGUGGAAAGUUGAAUGAACUUCGUCACUUAGAGGAAGGAGAAGUCGUAACA